AACGAACGCUGGCGGCAUGCCUAACACAUGCAAGUCGAACGAGACCUUCGGGUCUAGUGGCGCACGGGUGCGUAACGCGUGGGAACCUGCCUUUAGGUUCGGAAUAACUCAGAGAAAUUUGAGCUAAUACCGGAUAAUGUCUUCGGACCAAAGAUUUAUCGCCUUUAGAUGGGCCCGCGUUGGAUUAGCUAGUUGGUGGGGUAAAGGCCUACCAAGGCGACGAUCCAUAGCUGGUCUGAGAGGAUGAUCAGCCACACUGGGACUGAGACACGGCCCAGACUCCUACGGGAGGCAGCAGUGGGGAAUAUUGGACAAUGGGCGAAAGCCUGAUCCAGCAAUGCCGCGUGAGUGAUGAAGGCCUUAGGGUUGUAAAGCUCUUUUACCAGGGAUGAUAAUGACAGUACCUGGAGAAUAAGCUCCGGCUAACUCCGUGCCAGCAGCCGCGGUAAUGUGACUACUG
RNAcentral lists this ribosomal RNA (460 nucleotides) under uncultured bacterium. RNAcentral describes it as "bacterial SSU rRNA". It matches the Rfam family "Bacterial small subunit ribosomal RNA", at positions 29 to 534 of the family's 1533-position model. The record is from RNAcentral.